RNAcentral lists this signal recognition particle RNA (312 nucleotides) under Octodon degus (degu). RNAcentral's name for it is "Metazoan signal recognition particle RNA (ENSODEG00000025843.1)". It matches the Rfam family "Metazoan signal recognition particle RNA". From Rfam's summary of the family: The signal recognition particle (SRP) is a universally conserved ribonucleoprotein. It is involved in the co-translational targeting of proteins to membranes. The record is from RNAcentral. Lineage: Eukaryota; Metazoa; Chordata; Mammalia; Rodentia; Octodontidae.
GCCGGGCGCGGUGGCGCGCACCUGUAGUUCCAGCUACUCAGGAGGCUGAGGUGGGAGGAUCGCUCGAGUCCAGGAGUUCCGGGCUGCAGUGCGCUAUGCCGAUCCGGUGUCCGCACUAAGCUCGGCAUCAAUAUGGUAACCUCCCAGGAGGGUAACCUCCCCGGAGCGGGGGACCACCAGGUUGCCUAAGGAGGGGUGAACCGGCCCAGGUCGGAAAUGGAGCAGGUCAAAAAGUACUGGAGAUGUAGAUUUGUGAUACAGUACAUGCUAGCAUGCUCAAGGCCCUGGGUUCAAUUCCCAGUCUCUCUCUCU